Molecule: long non-coding RNA, 1085 nt
Filed under: Aquilegia coerulea
Lineage: Eukaryota; Viridiplantae; Streptophyta; Magnoliopsida; Ranunculales; Ranunculaceae
Description: long non-coding RNA (ACOE_LNC001706)
Source: RNAcentral
GGAGGAUAUUUCAUCAAGACCUUCUUUCCAGAAAGUUCUUGCAAAUGCAAACAAACAAUCAACGGAAAUUGAAAGUAGGCCGCAUGAUAUCUUACUUGAAGGUUCUUACAUUGACUCAAAAGUGACCUUGUUACAGCUAUGUCACCCUACGAAGACUAUGUUGUGCUCACAUUGGCUCAUGUCAUGAUUUUAUUUAGCUACAUUUCUAGAAGGAUACUAUUCAUUCAACACGGUUUAUACAAUCUAAUGAUCUAUCCUACAUUCAUAACUACAUGUCUAUAUAUAUAGUUCAACUUCUCUAUAAAUAAACACCAUCACUACCAAAAAACAGGUUAUUUGCCACUGCUCUAUGCAGGAAAUAAUAUGAGAAUUAUUUAUACUGAAUACUAUUCUAGCAAGGAAGAUAAACCGGAAGAGUCUAUUCAAUACCUGCAAGUCCUUGAGAUGAACAUCGCCGUGUGUGGGCCAACCUGGUGGAGGACGAGUGUCUUCAACUUGUUUUUCUACAAUUAUCCCUUUCUGCAUUCAAAUGAAAACAUGAAACAACUAAGAGUAUGAUGAUGAUCAAAUUGAAACUUGAUGAUAAAACUUGCAAAACCUAUCUCAAAAUCCCCAAAUCAUGGUCAACAAAUCCCCAAACAACAACAACAACAACAACAGUCAAAUAUACUUCAAAUUGUAGUUAAAAAAGCCAUAAUACUGAACAUAACAACUAUAUAGGAAUCGAUUCAAAGAAGAACAAAUAUGUUCAAAACAAAUAUGAACGCAAUCGAAUAGAAACUGAAGAUCGAAAUGAAACCCUAAUCCAAAAAAAUUCGGCAUACCUUAAACAAUUGAAUUUGAUUAGAAAAUUUGAACUCCGAUUGCUUGACAUUUAAUUUCUCUAUGGAUCGAAGAAAACGACUGGAUUGAUGAAAGAAGAAUGAGAGAUUCCGAUGAAUGAUAAGUAAAAUGUAAUGUUUUAAGAAGAAGAAGCAGAAGAAGAAGGAGAGCUUUCGUUGAUUGAACUUCCGUGGAGCUGAGAAUUUCUUUUUAUCGAACGGGCGGGCUUUAAACGCAAAAGUAAUUUGCCACGGCCCAAUUAA